Molecule: long non-coding RNA, 1482 nt
Filed under: Nothobranchius furzeri (turquoise killifish)
Lineage: Eukaryota; Metazoa; Chordata; Actinopteri; Cyprinodontiformes; Nothobranchiidae
Description: lncRNA (ENSNFUG00015004146.1)
Source: RNAcentral
AUGCCUGUCACUGUUGAUAACAUGAUGACAAAGGAAGAACUGACAAAAUGGCCAUAUUUAUCAAAGGUCAAUUUUGCAACCAUAACAGCGGAUGUGGACUUGCUGAUUGGAACCAAUGCGUCUAAACUGCUGGAACCCUGGGAAGUCAUUAUUAGUUGUGGAAAUGGUCCGCAUGCUAUUGAGACAGUAUUAGGAUGGGUGGUUAGUUGUACACUGAAUGGUAACAGUGAUAUCUUAAAAGAUGAACCUCUCACAGCCGCAGUGAACAGAAUUUCUGUGUGCAAAUUGGAAGAAAUGUUGGCAAACCAAUAUAAUCAUGAGUUCAAUGAGAAAAUCAUGGAGGGGAGUGAAAUGUCCCAAGAAGAUCUCCAGUUUAUGGAAAGCAUGGAUCGUUCAGCAGUGUUGCAAGGGAAGCAAUAUUGUUUAAAGUUGCCCUUUAAAGACAAAGAAGUACUUUUACCAAACAAUCUUGCAGUAGUCAAACAAAGGAUGCAAGUUUUGAAGAAAAAACUCUUGAAAACCAAACAGCUGCACCAAGGGUACAUAGAGUACAUGGAUACAAUCUGCAAAAAACAAUAUGCAGAGCAAGUACCUCACCAAGAUCUGCACUGUGAACAAGGAAAGGUUUGUUACAUUCCGCAUCAUGGUGUUUUCCAUCCGAAAAAUAAAUACCUUCGUGUGGUGUUUGAUUGUGGAGCUACAUUUCAAGGUGUAUCCUUGAUCAGUAAGCUGUUGCCUGGGCCAAAUCUCACAAGCUCUCUACUUGGAGUUUUACUUCGAUUUAGAAAGGAGCCAGUUGCCUACAUGGGUGACAUUCAAGCCAUGUUUUAUCAAGUGAAGGUUGCAGUUGAAGACAGAGAUUUUCUUCGCUUUCUCUGUUGGCCAGAAGGAGACCUCACUCAGGAGCUCUUGCAAUAUCGUAUGACUGAGCAUCUGUUUGGCGCUACAUCAUCUCCAAGUUGUGCAUGUUAUGCACUAAGAAAAACUGCAGAUGACAAUCAGUCUGAGUAUCCUGAGGAGGUUAGUCAAUCUAUAAAACAGAACUUUUAUGUGGACGACUGUCUCAAAAGUUCUCCCAGCAAAGAAGAGGCAAUCCAAAUGAUAAAGGAUUUAAGCCGCUUAUGUGAAAAGGGUGGUUUUGUGUUGGACAAGUGGAGCUGCAAUAGCAGAACAGUGCUACAAUCCUUUGCAGAAGAUUUCAGAGCCAAGAGCUUAAAGGAUCUGGACCUGGAACAAACAGAACUUCCUGUUGAAAGGACCCUUGGCCUUCAGUGGUGCAUGGAAACUGACACCUUUAAGUUCAAGAUGGAGAUGAAACAGCAAUCCUUUACCAGGCGUGGUGUGCUGUCAACUAUCUGUUCGGUGUAUGAUCCACUGGGUUUUUUGGCACUGAUUGUUCUGCUCUCCAAAAUAAUGCAGCAAGAACUCUGUAGGAGACACAGUGGAUGGGAUGAUGAUCUACCUAAAGACAUUGAUAGGUAA